GGAGCCGACGCGGCGGAGGGAGAGGCCGCAAGGCCCCGAGCAUCCAGGCGCGCUGCGGAACCUCGCCAGUCGCGGUGCCCGCCGCCCGCUGGGGGAAAGCCCCGCGUUCGCUCGCACCAGGUCGGGAGGUGCGGCGGGAACGCAGGAACGGAGCCACGCCAGCGGAACGGCAGCAGCGAGGUAGACAAGUGGCGUUGCUGGAACGAUCGCAGAGAAGCAACAUGCGCAACGGAAGGAAAAUUACAGGAGAGUGCUGAAUUGAGAUCACGGGCACUUGGGAGGACAGAGUAAGAGACACCACAGAAGAAGCCAUCUUCCCUCCAGUUGCCUCUUCCAGGGAAAUCAAGACAACAGCUAUUACAUGCUGCAAACAGGGUAGUUAAGUGUAAAAAGCGUUUCAGGGUUCCACAGCUCGGAGUUUCACCCAAAACCGGACGCAAAACAAAACUCAACUAGCCGAUACCGACGUUUGCGUUAUCACACCAGAAGAAUAAAGGCUGUUACUUGUAGUUUCCAGGUAAUUUUAGUGUUGCCAGAUACCUUCUCAAAGCUGAGAGAUCAAGGAUUCCUUUGUUAACUAUACAAACAAGGCUGAACAGCGCAUGUGUUGGAAUAUCCUUAGUGCAGGGUGGGAAAUGUGCAUAAAUGUGUAUACUUAAGCAUACUGGAGUACCAGAAACGGUUCUAUUUUAACAGCUCACCAAGGAAUACUUUAAAAGAAUCUUCCUGCUCAAUCAACCCAGAGCUUAUUACUGGGUCCCUGGGAGCCUGUAUGUAUAUUUUCAGUCAUGGAUUGAGUAGGCCUUGUACAGAGAUCUCUGAAUCCCACUGACAUAACCAUUACACUAGUUGGUUUUUAAUGAAAAAAAAAAAAAUCUAGAGGUCUACCAUGGUUCUUCAACUAACAAAAAAAAAAAACAAAAACAAAAACAAAAAAAAAAAAAAACAACAAAAAACAAAAAAAAAAAAAACCACAAAACAAAAAACACACCACAAAAAACCCCCAAAGAACUCCAACCACUAAAAACCAAAAAAACCAAAUCCAAAAAACCCAAACAAACAAAACAAAACCCAAAGGAAAGCACUACGGCAAAGUCUCAUUAGUUGCCGGUGUUUGCUGAAGAGCCUUUAUGAAAAGGAAUGAGACCAAGGAAAGAGUCAUAACAAAAACAAAGAGCUGUUUGGGAAGAAUUUUCUCAUGAAUGCAUGAAAUUCAGUAUAAUGAGCAAUGAUGACAAAUACAAAACACUGACAACUUUCCAUUACAUGCAAGAGAUGAAAACAAAAAUGUCUCUACAGACAGUGACAAAGAACAUUUUGUCAUAGUCUGCUUUUGGAUAUGAAUGGCCACAAAAUGCUUGCAGUAAGGGACUGCACAAUUUAGACCACUGAUGGCAUAACUGACCUACUAACAGGAUAAAAGGAAUCUGCUUUCACAAGUCCAAAUAACACGCAAAACCUUCAACAAAAUUACUACAUUUCUAACUGCAUCAGUUUCCUAACGGUGACCAACACAGCAACAGGUCUGUUACUUGAGUAAUGUGUUCAUGCUUGGGUGAGUGGAAGAUGCAAACAGAAGAGGGAAAAUGCAGAGAUCUGGUAAAUUCAAGUUACUGCUUAGCAUCUAACUUCACUGCUCCAAUCUGAUUCCACAUCCUCAGGUUUUACAAAAGGCUGUCCAAGAAUCUUUCACAGAAAUGACACAUGGAACAUAACUUUAGAUGUAUUAGCAGAUAAAUUAGCCCAUAUUCACAGGAUAGCUGCAAGAGUGUGAGGCAGCAAAAGCCUGUGACUGGACUUUGCACCUAAUAACCAAAUUGAAAAACUGCUAGAAUGCCACAUGUCAGUGAACAGAACUGCUGCUGCCAUCACAACCUCCAAGGUCAGAAACCACAGAACUUUUACCCCAUCCAUAUCUCCAGUGGAGAGGGCAUCUCUGGACCUGUUAGGAAGAUAGAGAUGGGAAGCACAGUACAAGAGAUGUUUUUUAUGACAAGACAAAUCCGCUACCCAAACUACCUUGAAGGAUUAAGAAUUAGCAGCCAGCUUGGUGUGCUCCCAGCACAUACUUGGGAUGCCAGGCUAAACCACAUGAGCCUUCUGGUCAAACACAGCAGGUCAAAAUUAGCAGGCAGCCUACACUACCAGGGGCAGAAGCUGAGACAACCUCAAGGCAGGAAGAUCAGUGUACAGGUGCUGAACAGAACAGUUUGACCUCCUAAGUGAGUGGCUCAAUUGCACUUGCUCAACUAACUGCCAAGCACCAUCAUCUUGUCCCUUCAUUUUUGGUAUAAUUUAUGCAGCUGUUAUUGUCUCUCUAUAAAAAUAUAGACAGAGGUUAAUAUAAAAAUAUACAUUAAAAAUGACAGUUUUUUUUUUUUAAAAAGACUGAGACAAAGACAACCAGUAUUCCUUCUCAUAGGAUUACUGAGUUGAACUUUGUGGGUUUUUGUUUCUUUUAUAUUUUUUUUUUUAAUAAUAAGCAUUAUUCAUUUGCAACCUCUUAAUUUACAGAAACAUUUCCACAUUUGUAUCAUCACAGCUGGAGAGGUACAGUGUUAGAUGUCAGAGUGAGAGUUGAUCCUACUUCUGCUUUCCUUUAUAAUCCCAUGAAAAUUCAUGUAGAAAUUUAUAGCAAACUUUCACUGAAUUGGUAUGAGAGAAUUAACAUUGUAGAUUCUGACAUCCUUGGGUGACAUUCUGGAGAGUGACCAUAUACUAUGUACUUUGAUGAGGACAGCCAUUCUGCAAAUCUCCACCCUCCUUUCUUUCACAUACAUGUAAUUACUGAUACACAAAAAAUUCUAGCAACAAAAUCGGCAAACUGAUAAGACCUUUAAGAUCAUCGAAUCCAACCACACACCUAACACUGCCACGUCCACCACUAAACCAUAUCCCUGACUUAAAUAAGCCAUUAGCUUUCAGAGGAGUUUUCCUUUAGGCAAUAAAGAAACAAACAUAAGUGUACUUGGUCAAAUAAACAUCUCUUCAAAACAAA
Long non-coding RNA from Passer domesticus (house sparrow), 2998 nucleotides. RefSeq lists it as uncharacterized. The record is from RefSeq and is a predicted model, not a curated record. NCBI's taxonomy places the organism in Eukaryota, Metazoa, Chordata, Aves, Passeriformes, Passeridae. The transcript is spliced from 4 exons.